Centruroides sculpturatus (bark scorpion) is the source of this 990-nucleotide long non-coding RNA. RefSeq lists it as uncharacterized. The record is from RefSeq and is a predicted model, not a curated record. The transcript has 3 exons. NCBI's taxonomy places the organism in Eukaryota, Metazoa, Arthropoda, Arachnida, Scorpiones, Buthidae.
CAGUACUUAAGUUUACCAGAUUAAAGCGAAAAAAUGCAAUUAAUUUAAAAAAAAAAAAAAUUCAGCAGUAAACAAUAAUAAAGGAAAACGAGCAGAGACCAAAGGUGAUUCAUAUGUCAUACUUAAGAAAAAUGCAAUUGUUCCUUAAAAGAUACAAAAGUCACACGCCGUCCUUGUGUCUGCUAAACGAAACAGGAAGAGUUUGCCAAAUCAGCGAAGAGGUUAAAAAGUUAUAUUUACGAUUACUUACGACACAUAUACACGAAAUGCGAAAACGAAAUGACAUUUUAGACGAUGGCAUGUUUCUGCAGAGGUAGUACUUGGCUCUAGUGACUUGUAUAGAACAACAACCCUUAUUAAAUGAUUGGGUCAAAGGAGAAGAAUUACAAAUCAUUUUCCAUUUCUAAGUAACGUGUACACACAUCAGUUAACACGAGCUGUGAGCAAAACUUCAAUUGUGUAAACCCUAAUUAUAAUUUUACCAUUGAUGAAAUUAUGUAAUAACAACUUUUUUACGCCUUAAAACUUUUUAAAGCACGAAUAAUUUAUAAGAGAUAAAUUAUCAGUGAACAAAAUUACAGUUGGUUUCAAUGUUUAUCUCUCUUAAAAUGAAAAUUUUUCUAAUCUAAAAAUUAGUUCAUAAAAUGGAUUAAGUCUUACAUAAAGGAUAAUAUUAGCUAUUUAUUAUUAUUUUUUUUAAUUGUAAACUUUGCUGAGAUUCUCAAUUCAGGUUUAAUCUUAAAAUAAAUUAUUUUUACUUGUUUCAAUGCGGAACAAAACGAAUAAUAGCGCAGUUCCGUAACUGUUACGGCAAGAAAACAGAAUUACUGUCGCGUGUUGUUAUAUAGAAUACCGGGUUAAUAAGCCAUUCUUUCAUAAACAGAUUUUAUUAUUCUACAAUUAUUAAAGCUUAAAAUUAUAUUUUUCGCUAAUUAAGUUGCAAAUAAUUAUGAUUUAAUGUAUUUAAAACUUACUUUAACUUUGAUAUGA